This is a long non-coding RNA of Colossoma macropomum (tambaqui), 2717 nucleotides long. RefSeq lists it as uncharacterized. The record is from RefSeq and is a predicted model, not a curated record. NCBI's taxonomy places the organism in Eukaryota, Metazoa, Chordata, Actinopteri, Characiformes, Serrasalmidae. The transcript has 5 exons.
CUUGAGACAUUUUUUUAUGCCAAGACGUCUCAAGAACGUCUUAAGACGUAUGAGUGAAGACACUGUCUUUGUCUUGAGACAUGAAAGUUAACGUCUUAAGACAAAGAAGUAAUUAUUUUGUGUGUCUUGAAGACGAGGCAUGACUUAAGACAUCACUUUGUCUUAAGACAUAGAGAUGUUGUGUCUUAAGACAGUUCAGUUGAGACCAAAGAGUGGUCCAUUACAAAAGGUCCUGUGGUAUGAGUGUGGUAUUCCUGUGAUACUGCCAAACUGAAAAUUACUACUGAGGAUUACCACAGCACUGCCCAAUGUACUUUAUAAUGAGAAUAUAACUAUAUAAGAGAGAAUUUAAGUAUGUCCUCAAGAAACAGCCUGCUGUAAUCUUAUGGUUUUUGUGUGAUAUUACUAAAAGAACAUUCACUAAGGUUUUUCUUGCUGUACUUUUGUGAUUCUUUUUUUUUGUAUGUUUUGUUUUUUGAUUAUUGCAGAAAUGUGUUUACAGUGGCAAAAUAGCAAAAGAAAAAAUCAGUUCUUAAACCAUUUACCUUACCUUAAAAUGUUUAAACUCAUUUCCUUAUAUCAUUGAAGUUCAUGGUAGAAUAACUUUUAAUUUGUAACAUUUACCAAAGGAGAUAAUCACAGUCAGUCACAGCCUUUUGCUCAUUUGCAGAAAACAUGCUAUGAUUAAAACAACAUUGAUCUAUUUUCAAAUGUACAACUGUAACCAGAGACAACAAGCUAGGAACCAAGAUAAAACAACUUUGAGCUAAUAGGAAGUAAAUGUACUUAACAGCUAACCUGAGUACUUUAGAGAUCUCAUACCACCAAAACUUAAUGCAGAAAAAGCCCUUGGUUCACUCUCUUCAACAUCUACACUUCUGUUUAUUUUCUUAAGCAGAUCAGGGCUGCCCAAAGUUAGACUUUUAAUUUGUAUAACUUUCCAAAUUAUUAUCUCCAGUAUUUGGAAAACACGAACAAUAAUAAACAAAUGUAUUUGAGUAGUAAUAUAUAAAGACCUGUAUUGUUUCACCACGUAAAAUUACAUAAUAAACAGAUUUUUGUUUAAAUGUCCAACUUCAUACUUUGACUUUAAUAUAUUAAGACAUGGCCUCCAGUGAUGCUGUAUGAUAAUGCUGUACAGCUGUCUUAUGUAUUUCAAGGGUUUACAGUUUUCUAUUCUGUGUCUAGAUUAAAAAAACAAACAAACAAAAACAAAGCAGCACAGUUCAUUCAGCACAGCAGAGCCGUGCGAACCAGAAAAAAAAGGAUCUAUGGGAGGACAAACAAAAGACUGGCGGGAGUUUAGACCAAUCAGAGCGCGGGACUCCGCCGCUUGGACGUUCGGUUUUGAAGCGCGAGCGCUCUCCGCCGUUCCUCCGUUUAAAGCCAAACGCGGCCGUUACAGCCGUUACAGUGAGCGGGUCUCUCAGGUCGCUACCGCGGGCAGUUUAUCGAGUUUGUUUAGCGAGUGUUAAACCUGAUAAGACUCUCUUACACUCCUUACUAAGACAGCGCCGCCUGCCGGGUGACGCUUUCAGCUCCCAGAAACGAGGAUUUUCAGCUGCGUAGCUGACUAACGAUAACUACUGACUGGACCGAGUGGAGUGGAGACUGGUUUUACGACUGGAGUCCCGACUGCAGCGGUCAGAGUCUGCUUUUAAAAGAUGUUUCUCAUCAGAAAUCAUCUGAAGCUGAGCAACUGGAACAUUCUCUCUUUGGGCCUCAUCCAGUAUGGUGGCAGUCCAUAUCAUUUUCAACACUUAACUGUGCUCUUACGCAAGUGGCCUCAUCCUGAUGCUUCUUUCAUUACACUGAACAUCAUUGUCUGAACAUCAGCUAUGCGUGUGAGCUGGGUGCCACACUGGAGUUCAUGCAUAGCGAGCUUGGCACACCCUCACACAACGCAACGCAUCUACCGGAGCCCGUGUAUUGGCGGAACCGCUCUGGUGCUUGAUCAGUCAGAGCCAAGUGAGCGAGCUAACUAAUCUGAGCAUACUGGGCUCAUCAGGAAGGAGGGGCUUAAAGACACUGGAUCUCUAACAGAGCGUUUCAGACAGAGGAUGCAUUUUCCUCAUAUCUCUGACAAAGAAGACCAACACUGAGAAAAAACAGAGGAAGAAGCGAUGGGCUGUGAAUCUGACAGUUCUCUCACUCAUCACGGAUUUAACUCUGAAAGGAGAGAUCGGUAACAUUAGCAGUGCAAUAUCAGUAAUGUUAGUGUUCAGGCAUUACGGCAUGGACAUAUGCACACUGAGUUAUCUGUGUCCUGUUUCCUGUGUCCACAUAUGUCCACAGCUUGACUCUAUUCCAGCUACCAGCACAUCUGAGUCUGGUAUUAAUUGUUUGACAGUUGAUCAUUAUCUGGCUCAGGUAUGUUAUGAGUACUGCUGGGGUUCAGACCUCUGUAUUACUCUGUUGGUCAGUUUUUCUUUUUAGUCCAUAUUAAUUUGUCUUAAAAUUGUUUCCUAUCAUUUAUAAUUGUUCAUAGUACUAUGUUGUUAAUAACCUCAGCAUAACUUAUAUACGGAAUAACAGCAGACCUUAAAAUCAGAUUCAUUGGUUUGUGGAACUGUGUAUUUAUUGCAGUAUAUUUCAGAUUUCUACACAAAGUCAGUUAACAUGUUUUUCUCUUUCUGUAGAACAUAUCAAGUGUGAUGACGCUAUUGUACUGUGCAUAUACACAGUUGUAAAAACAAUAAACAAUAACUGUAAUUAUA